Molecule: ribosomal RNA, 460 nt
Filed under: uncultured bacterium
Lineage: Bacteria
Description: partial 16S ribosomal RNA
Rfam family: Bacterial small subunit ribosomal RNA
Source: RNAcentral
CCUACGGGUGGCAGCAGUGAGGAAUAUUGGUCAAUGGGCGCGAGCCUGAACCAGCCAAGUAGCGUGAAGGAUGACUGCCCUACGGGUUGUAAACUUCUUUUAUAAAGGAAUAAAGUGAGGCACGUGUGCCUCUUUGUAUGUACUUUAUGAAUAAGGCUUGGCAAACCUCGUGCCAGCAGCCGCGGUAAUCCGGGGGAUCCGAGCGUUACCCGGAUUUUUUGGGUUUAAAGGGAGCGGAGAUGGGUUGUUAAGUCAGUUGUGAAAGUUUGCGGCUCAACCGUAAAAUUGCAAUUGAUACUGGCAGUCUUGAGUACAGUUGAGGUAGGCGGAAUGCGUGGUGUAGCGGUGAAAUGCUUAGAUAUCACGAAGAACCCCGAUUGCGAAGGCAGCUUACUAAACUGUGACUGACAUUGAUGCUCGAAAGUGUGGGUAUCAAACAGGAUUAGAUACCCGUGUAGUC